RNAcentral lists this ribosomal RNA (707 nucleotides) under uncultured bacterium. RNAcentral's name for it is "bacterial SSU rRNA". It matches the Rfam family "Bacterial small subunit ribosomal RNA", at positions 606 to 1315 of the family's 1533-position model. The record is from RNAcentral.
GGUCAACACUCGAAGAGCGCGCCCCAAAUUGCGCGUCUCGAGUCCGGGAGGGGAGAUCGGAUUGCAGGCUGUAGCCGUGAAAUGCGUUGAUAUCCUGCAGAGCAUCGGUGCGAAGGCGGAUCUUCUGAACGCAACUGACGCUGAUGGCGCGAAAGCCGGGGAGCAACAGGAUUAGAUACCCUGGGUAGUGCUGGCUUAAACUGUGCACACUUGGAGUGGGGGGAUUUCACCCCCCCCGUCCCGGAGCUAACGCGUUAAGUGUGCCGCCUGGGGAGUACGGCCGCAAGGUUAAAACUCAAAGAAAUUGACGGGGGCCCGCACAAGCAGAGGAGCAUGUGGCUUAAUUCGAUGCAACGCGAAGAACCUUACCCGGGUUUGACAUGCAGCUGCACGGCCGGUGAAAGCCGGCCUCCUUCGAGGGUGCUGCACAGGUGCUGCAUGGCUGUCGUCAGUUCGUGCCGUGAGGUGUUUGGUUAAGUCCAGCAACGAACGCAACCCCUGUGUCCAGUUGCCAUCAGGUAACGCUGGGAACUCUGGACAGACUGCCCGUUCACACGGGAGGAAGGUGGGGAUGACGUCAAGUCAGUAUGGCCCUUACGUCCGGGGCUGCACACGUGCUACAAUGGCCGGCACAAAGGGAAGCUAGGCCGCGAGGUCCGGCCAACCCCCAAAACCGGCCCCAGUUCAGAUUGGGGUCUGCAACCCGA